AGCGAACGCUGGCGGCAGGCCUAACACAUGCAAGUCGAACGAACUCUUCGGAGUUAGUGGCGGACGGGUGAGUAACACGUGGGAACGUGCCUUUUGGUUCGGAAUAACUCAGGGAAACUUGUGCUAGUACCGAAUGUGCCCUUCGGGGGAAAGAUUUAUCGCCAUUAGAGCGGCCCGCGUCUGAUUAGCUAGUUGGUGAGGUAACGGCUCACCAAGGCGACGAUCAGUAGCUGGUCUGAGAGGAUGACCAGCCACACUGGGACUGAGACACGGCCCAGACUCCUACGGGAGGCAGCAGUGGGGAAUCUUGCGCAAUGGGCGAAAGCCUGACGCAGCCAUGCCGCGUGAAUGAUGAAGGUCUUAGGAUUGUAAAAUUCUUUCACCGGGGACGAUAAUGACGGUACCCGGAGAAGAAGCCCCGGCUAACUUCGUG
RNAcentral lists this ribosomal RNA (433 nucleotides) under uncultured bacterium. RNAcentral describes it as "partial 16S ribosomal RNA". It matches the Rfam family "Bacterial small subunit ribosomal RNA", at positions 29 to 507 of the family's 1533-position model. The record is from RNAcentral.